AAAUCACCUCCCCCCAUUUUCCUACGAAUUUCCAAGAAUACCCUUAAAGUCUCAAACCUUAACUUCCAACGUUGAAAUGUUUCUGCUACCCGAGAUCUGGCGUAUAGAAAAUGAACAACAGACUCUGUCCCCGAGUUAAGGUAUUAAAUUGAUGAAUGAGUCACGAAAACGGAAAACAUUUCAUCGUAUCACGUUGGCCAGUGACUAAUAGAACUUGUCCAACUCGAUUAUUCGGCUUGAAGAUGCGUAAGCUUAAUGGCCGUUGGCCAAGUUCGAGACACGUUGCUUAAGUGACUGAUGUUUACGGAUUAUUCGAAAAAUCCUGUGACCUAAGGUUCGUUUUCUGUUCGAGAUAAAUCAGCCAGGACACACAGCUCGUGUAUUAAUAUGGAACGCGAUGUAAUGAAAAAAAUUACGUAACGAAGACGAAAAACGAUACAGGCAAACAAGGGUAGAGAAGAAGAAAAAAGUUGAAGAUGUGGCUCUAAGGCGGUGGCUUGACAGUUUCGUCCACCCUUCGCCAUUAACAGCGAAGUCCAAUCCAAGUGUCGGAGAAUACGGUGGCAGCAGCGUCGGCGGCGGGACCGCAUCUGCAUAUGCGAACACAGCG
Molecule: unclassified non-coding RNA, 610 nt
Filed under: Megachile rotundata (alfalfa leafcutting bee)
Lineage: Eukaryota; Metazoa; Arthropoda; Insecta; Hymenoptera; Megachilidae
Description: homeobox protein Hox-B1, transcript variant X1
Source: RNAcentral